AUGAACGCUGGCGGCGUGCCUAAUACAUGCAAGUCGAGCGAACAGACGAGGAGCUUGCUCCUCUGACGUUAGCGGCGGACGGGUGAGUAACACGUGGAUAACCUACCUAUAAGACUGGGAUAACUUCGGGAAACCGGAGCUAAUACCGGAUAAUAUAUUUAACCGCAUGGUUCAAUAGUGAAAGACGGUUUUGCUGUCACUUAUAGAUGGAUCCGCGCCGCAUUAGCUAGUUGGUAAGGUAACGGCUUACCAAGGCAACGAUGCGUAGCCGACCUGAGAGGGUGAUCGGCCACACUGGAACUGAGACACGGUCCAGACUCCUACGGGAGGCAGCAGUAGGGAAUCUUCCGCAAUGGUCGAAAGCUUGACGGAGCAACGCCGCGUGAGUGAUGAAGGUCUUCGGAUCGUAAAACUCUGUUAUUAGGGAAGAACAAAUGUGUAAGUAACUAUGCACGUCUUGACGGUACCUAAUCAGAAAGCCACGGCUAACUACGUG
This 496-nucleotide ribosomal RNA is filed under the name uncultured bacterium. RNAcentral's name for it is "partial 16S ribosomal RNA". It matches the Rfam family "Bacterial small subunit ribosomal RNA", at positions 29 to 507 of the family's 1533-position model. The record is from RNAcentral.